CCUACGGGUGGCAGCAGUGAGGAAUAUUGGUCAAUGGACGAGAGUCUGAACCAGCCAAGUCGCGUGAAGGAUGACUGCCCUAUGGGUUGUAAACUUCUUUUGUAGGGGAGUAAAACGAGGCACGUGUGCCUUUUUGCGUGUACUUUAUGAAUAAGCAUCGGCUAACUCCGUGCCAGCAGCCGCGGUAAUACGGAGGAUUCGAGCGUUAUCCGGAUUUAUUGGGUUUAAAGGGAGCGUAGGUGGGUGGUUAAGUCAGUUGUGAAAGUUUGGGGGUCAAACCUAAAAUUGCAUUUGAUACUGGAAGUCUUGAGUGCAGGUGAGGUAGGCGGAAUUCGUGGUGUAGCGGUGAAAUGCUUAGAUAUCACGAAGAACCCCGAUUGCGAAGGCAGCUUACUAACCCGCAACUGACAUUGAUGCUCGAAAGCGUGGGUAUCAAACAGGAUUAGAUACCCGGGUAGUC
RNAcentral lists this ribosomal RNA (460 nucleotides) under uncultured bacterium. RNAcentral's name for it is "partial 16S ribosomal RNA". It matches the Rfam family "Bacterial small subunit ribosomal RNA", at positions 338 to 795 of the family's 1533-position model. The record is from RNAcentral.